Molecule: long non-coding RNA, 1127 nt
Organism: Rhineura floridana
Lineage: Eukaryota; Metazoa; Chordata; Lepidosauria; Squamata; Rhineuridae
Exons: 3
Source: RefSeq, a predicted model, not a curated record
AGGAGGAGGAGGAGACGGGGCUUGAAAGACCCUGGCCUGGCUCAGAGGUCCAGGGUGUGGGGUGCUGCUGGCAGGCUCCUCGGAUCUAGAUUGGCAUCCCCCCCUCCAGCCAUCUCAAGGUGGAUAUACGCCCAAACUGGAGCCACAUCACACUGUUGGCUCAUAUUCAUCAUGUGAUCAACGACAAUUCCAAGAUCCUUCUCACAUGUCUUACUGCUGAGCCAAGUUAGCGACGCCAUGCUACUCAGAUUUUAGUCCAGCCACCACCGACUGCCCCAAUCCAGAUUAUCAAAUGGCACCAGUUUCUCCACUCCGGGCUCACUCCUCUGUGGUGGCGGCUUCCCCUCCGGCUCCUGCGCCUCCUCCUGCCCCUUACAGGGUGGUUGUUGAAAGGUUUCAUUCGGAGAACCGUAUUAGUAAUUACCAGUAGAAAUGAAAGUAUGCAUUGAGUAACCAGCUUCACCUAUUAAGAGGAAGAGCUUAUUGGUGACACUUCACUCUCAUACUCCUGCUGACAGCUCCCACUGGCUUCAUAUAGAUGUUAAAUAGCAUGAGGGGCAAGAUGGGACCCUUUUCAAUGUUAUUUGUGACAAACUAGCUCCCCCUAUCAGUGUUUUACCUUGCCCUCCCCUCUCUCUCUCUCACACACAAAUUCCUGCAAAUGCCCAUGUGUUACACCCUGCACUUAAUGGUCUUAUGGGGGCCGCCCUUUGGAUGACCCUGGCAGGGUACACAAAACCCUACUCUGAGCAUGUGCAGUUUCCCACUUUAAAACUCAAUUAAGUCAUAGCACCAUCAUGACCACAGGAAUAAAUGGGAGUUUGCUUCUGCUGUCCUAAUGCUAAGCACAUUUACUUGGAAAUAAAUAAGCAACAUUUUGUUGUAUAUGAAAAUUAGCAUCUGUAAUUAUGUACGUUUGGCUGACUGGUCCCUGUUUUUUUAAAAAAGAAAGGAUGCUGCAUCCAGUGGCGUCACUAGGGUUGGUGUCACCCGGUGCGGUAACUCAUGGUGUCACCCCCAUGGAACUCCUCCCGUAUCAGACCAUACAGAAUCCUUAGUAAUGUUUUUUGUACUAAUGUUACUCGUAAAUUGUAAUUCCCAUAUAUCACUGAAUGUAAUGGCAAUAG